This 497-nucleotide ribosomal RNA is filed under the name uncultured bacterium. RNAcentral's name for it is "partial 16S ribosomal RNA". It matches the Rfam family "Bacterial small subunit ribosomal RNA", at positions 28 to 507 of the family's 1533-position model. The record is from RNAcentral.
GAUGAACGCUGGCGGCGUGCCUAAUACAUGCAAGUCGAGCGAACGGACGAGAAGCUUGCUUUUCUGAUGUUAGCGGCGGACGGGUGAGUAACACGUGGAUAACCUACCUAUAAGACUGGGAUAACUUCGGGAAACCGGAGCUAAUACCGGAUAAUAUUUUGAACCGCAUGGUUCAAAAGUGAAAGACGGUCUUGCUGUCACUUAUAGAUGGAUCCGCGCUGCAUUAGCUAGUUGGUAAGGUAACGGCUUACCAAGGCAACGAUGCAUAGCCGACCUGAGAGGGUGAUCGGCCACACUGGAACUGAGACACGGUCCAGACUCCUACGGGAGGCAGCAGUAGGGAAUCUUCCGCAAUGGGCGAAAGCCUGACGGAGCAACGCCGCGUGAGUGAUGAAGGUCUUCGGAUCGUAAAACUCUGUUGUUAGGGAAGAACAUAUGUGUAAGUAACUGUGCACAUCUUGACGGUACCUAAUCAGAAAGCCACGGCUAACUACGUG